This 45-nucleotide non-coding RNA is filed under the name Trichobilharzia regenti. The record is from RNAcentral. Lineage: Eukaryota; Metazoa; Platyhelminthes; Trematoda; Strigeidida; Schistosomatidae.
UUACAGUUGACGAGUCCCAAAUAGGGCGAAAUGCUUAUCCUGGAU